Molecule: ribosomal RNA, 449 nt
Filed under: uncultured bacterium
Lineage: Bacteria
Description: partial 16S ribosomal RNA
Rfam family: Bacterial small subunit ribosomal RNA
Source: RNAcentral
AACGAACGCUGGCGGCAUGCCUAACACAUGCAAGUCGAACGAGAUCUUCGGGUCUAGUGGCGCACGGGUGCGUAACGCGUGGGAAUCUGCCCUUUGGUUCGGAAUAACAGUUGGAAACGACUGCUAAUACCGGAUGAUGACGAAAGCCCAAAGAUUUAUCGCCAGAGGAUGAGCCCGCGUAGGAUUAGCUAGUUGGUGUGGUAAGGGCGCACCAAGGUGACGAUCCUUAGCUGGUCUGAGAGGAUGAUCAGCCACACUGGGACUGAGACACGGCCCAGACUCCUACGGGAGGCAGCAGUGGGGAAUAUUGGACAAUGGGCGAAAGCCUGAUCCAGCAAUGCCGCGUGAGUGAUGAAGGCCUUAGGGUUGUAAAGCUCUUUUACCCGGGAUGAUAAUGACAGUACCGGGAGAAUAAGCUCCGGCUAACUCCGUGCCAGCAGCCGCCGUAA